AAUGAACGCUGGCGGCGUGCUUAACACAUGCAAGUCGAACGAGGCGGAGGGGGCAACCCCUCCAGUCGAGUGGCGGACGGGUGAGUAACACGUGGGUAACCUGCCCGGAAGUGGGGAACACCUCGGGGAAACUCGAGCUAAUACCGCAUGACAUCUUCGGGACGAAAGUCCUGACGAUCAAAGCGGGGCCGCAAGGCCUCGCGCUUCCGGAUGGGCCCGCGCCCGAUUAGCUAGUUGGCGAGGUAACGGCUCACCAAGGCUUCGAUCGGUAACCGGCCUGAGAGGGCGAUCGGUCACACCGGAACUGAGACACGGUCCGGACUCCUACGGGAGGCAGCAGUGGGGAAUCUUGCGCAAUGGGCGAAAGCCUGACGCAGCAACGCCGCGUGGAGGAUGAAGGCCCUUGGGUUGUAAACUCCUGUUGGCU
Molecule: ribosomal RNA, 427 nt
Filed under: uncultured bacterium
Lineage: Bacteria
Description: bacterial SSU rRNA
Rfam family: Bacterial small subunit ribosomal RNA
Source: RNAcentral